UACGUAGGGUGCAAGCGUUAUCCGGAAUUAUUGGGCGUAAAGAGCUCGUAGGCGGUUUGUCGCGUCUGCCGUGAAAACCCGAGGCUCAACCUCGGGCCUGCAGUGGGUACGGGCAGACUAGAGUGCGGUAGGGGAGAUUGGAAUUCCUGGUGUAGCGGUGGAAUGCGCAGAUAUCAGGAGGAACACCGAUGGCGAAGGCAGAUCUCUGGGCCGUAACUGACGCUGAGGAGCGAAAGCGUGGGGAGCAAACAGG
This 253-nucleotide ribosomal RNA is filed under the name uncultured bacterium. Its description in RNAcentral is "partial 16S ribosomal RNA". It matches the Rfam family "Bacterial small subunit ribosomal RNA", at positions 524 to 776 of the family's 1533-position model. The record is from RNAcentral.